ACUAGAAUCAAGUCCAUGGGUUGCAAAUGCUGAGUUCUUGCUACCUGUGCAUGAGGGAGGGCUGGAGGAUAGCAACAUCAAUCACAUCCCUGCCUUGCAUAUCCUGAACCAAUUGAGAAAUAUGCCAACAGGUCAGAUGUCCAUCCAGUCCAAGUAGACUAGCAAUCUGACCUCAGGCCUCUCAUUAACCAGUGGGCUGUUCCCGGAGUAAUGAAGGCAGAUAAUGCAUCCUGAGAUACCAGUCCAGUGGAGCACACAAACUCAUGCUUUGCCAUUGAUCCCUGGGACGAUUGGGAACACUGGCCCUUCACAACUUUGCUCUGCAGCCUCACGCCCCAGUGACCUACAUGAAGAGAUCCUCUGAAGCAUGUGCUGAGCUAAACAGAGAGCCCACCAUUCUGAAUAAGCUGGAAAAAUCCACCACCUCCAGCUGUAAAGCUUAUAGAACAAGACUGAUAAUUUUAAAAUGUAGUUUCUUGAUAAAAGACAUCUUCAGGAUUCUCAAAAUGCUGCAUCCAUCUCACUGUGUUCCUAGAUCGUGAAAGGGUGGCUUUCUACCACUUAAUGAUGCAGAGAUCCAGGUUCCUUCUGUCCUCUGAUUCCACUACCUUUGGGCCUCCAAGUCUUCAGCCUCCAGCCUGCAAAGGAGGGAGUAAUGGGGGGCAGGGGUUUGUGGAUCAGCUUUAGAAGUAGCACAUAUGACUUAUGCUUACGUUCUAUUUUGCUGGAACUCAGCAAAUGGUUGGACUGAAGUGUGAUGAGACUGAAAAUGUGGUUUCUGUCUGGGAAGCCACGUCCUGGUGAAAAUAGCACAAUUGGAAAGGUCAAAUCACAAACUUUUGUUAGCAGAAGCUGCUUCUGCCAUAUAUGGAGAAAGGUUUUAGAAGAAAUUAAGUUCUCUAGAGGGAAAAUAAAUAUUCAUCACAC
Molecule: long non-coding RNA, 927 nt
Filed under: Vulpes vulpes (red fox)
Lineage: Eukaryota; Metazoa; Chordata; Mammalia; Carnivora; Canidae
Description: lncRNA (ENSVVUG00000019798.1)
Source: RNAcentral